Molecule: ribosomal RNA, 253 nt
Filed under: uncultured bacterium
Lineage: Bacteria
Description: partial 16S ribosomal RNA
Rfam family: Bacterial small subunit ribosomal RNA
Source: RNAcentral
UACGUAGGUGACAAGCGUUGUCCGGAUUUACUGGGCGUAAAGAGCGCGCAGGCGGUCGUUCAAGUCGAGUGUGAAAGCCCCCGGCUCAACUGGGGAGGGUCACUCGAUACUGAUCGACUCGAAGGCAGGAGAGGGUAGUGGAAUUCCCGGUGUAGUGGUGAAAUGCGUAGAUAUCGGGAGGAACACCAAUGGCGAAGGCAGCUCGCUGGGACGUUACUGACGCUGAGGUGCGAAAGCGUGGGGAGCAAACAGG